Molecule: unclassified non-coding RNA, 135 nt
Filed under: uncultured Pleomassariaceae
Lineage: Eukaryota; Fungi; Ascomycota; Dothideomycetes; Pleosporales
Description: sequence contains ITS1
Source: RNAcentral
UCGUAGGGGGUUAAACCCCUAUUGAGAUAGCACCCUUUGUUUAUGAGUACCCUUUGUUUCCUCGGCGGGGCAACCCGCCAGAGGACCUUUAAAAACCUUUGCAGUAGUAGUAUCUUCAGUAAAAAACAAAUAUUA